AAUGAACGUUGGCGGCGUGGAUUAGGCAUGCAAGUCGUGCGGAAAGGCUCCUUCGGGAGUACUCGAGCGGCGAAAGGGAGAGUAACGCGUGGAUAUCUACCCUCGGAUCUGGGAUAGCGGCGGGAAACUGCCGGUAAUACCAGAUGACGUCUCCGGACCAAAGGUGUAAUUCCGUCCGAGGAUGAGUCCGCGUCCUAUUAGCUAGUUGGUAGGGUAAUGGCCUACCAAGGCUGUGAUGGGUACCGGGUGUGAGAGCAUGGCCCGGCUCACUGGGACUGAGACACUGCCCAGACACCUACGGGUGGCAG
This 308-nucleotide ribosomal RNA is filed under the name uncultured Planctomycetota bacterium. RNAcentral describes it as "bacterial SSU rRNA". It matches the Rfam family "Bacterial small subunit ribosomal RNA", at positions 29 to 351 of the family's 1533-position model. The record is from RNAcentral. Lineage: Bacteria; Pseudomonadati; Planctomycetota.